AACUGGUGGGAUGUAUAAAUACCGAGCUGCGUCAAAGAGUAUUCAUCAAAAUACACAUAGAAAGAAACAAAGGUGAAGGUAAACCGCAAACAUAUAAUUAAACUCAAAACAUUAAAGAGUAUGGAAAAGCCUUGGUCUGACAAGCGAAAAGCGUCGAUAAGACGCACAUCAGUAAAUAAAAGUUCAAACCAUAACCAGGAUGGAGUACCACAAACCCCACAUAAAACUUCUGUAGUGUAAGUAUGAUGCGUUAAUAAAAUCACAUUUGGUGGUGAAUGAGUAGUAUAAACGCCCGCGAAGGUUACAAAUAUGAUGAUAAUUGUCUCCUAAUUGUUGAAAUUAUAAUUCUUAAAAUUUUAAAUCAAAAGUUACCC
RNAcentral lists this long non-coding RNA (374 nucleotides) under Mytilus galloprovincialis (Mediterranean mussel). Lineage: Eukaryota; Metazoa; Mollusca; Bivalvia; Mytilida; Mytilidae. The record is from RNAcentral.